UACGUAGGUGGCGAGCGUUGUCCGGAUUUACUGGGUGUAAAGGGCGUGUAGGCGGGAGUGUAAGUCAGAUGUGAAAUUCCACGGCUCAACUGUGGCGCUGCAUCUGAAACUAUACUUCUUGAGUGCUGGAGAGGGAAGCGGAAUUCCUAGUGUAGCGGUGAAAUGCGUAGAUAUUAGGAGGAACACCAGUGGCGAAGGCGGCUUUCUGGACAGUAACUGACGCUGAGGAGCGAAAGCGUGGGGAGCAAACAGG
This 253-nucleotide ribosomal RNA is filed under the name uncultured bacterium. Its description in RNAcentral is "partial 16S ribosomal RNA". It matches the Rfam family "Bacterial small subunit ribosomal RNA", at positions 524 to 776 of the family's 1533-position model. The record is from RNAcentral.